AGCAAGUGAUAACUUUGUAGAGUGGGGUAU
This 30-nucleotide non-coding RNA is filed under the name Rattus norvegicus (Norway rat). Lineage: Eukaryota; Metazoa; Chordata; Mammalia; Rodentia; Muridae. The record is from RNAcentral.